AGAAUAUUUACUGUGAGCUGAGCAAGAAGACCCGUAAAAUUACCAGGCUGGGGCCCUACACCCUGGACAAGAAGAGCCUUUACAUCAAUGGUUACAAUGAUCGAAUAGCCCUCUCCUCCACCACAGGCUAUGAGUAUUCUUAUCCUGGGGGCAAACAGAGAACACCACUUGUCCGUCCCAACCCUGUUCUCAUAGCAUCCUGGGAAAGAGAGGAUGGACCACGGAUGUAAAAGAGAGAGGAAGGCACCACGUCGCCCUCAUUCUCGUAAUUCAGUCUCCACCAGUUGACUCAGUGGCCAAGCCAAAUGGAGUGCAUUUUCCCUGUCUCUUACAGUCCAUACCCCUCCUUGUCACAUGGACAAUUGGUCCACAGUUUUCAUUCAUGAUAUUUCCCUUCAGGUUCAAUAUUCAGAACCAGCACUCCAGCUCCAUCCACAGCCAGGGUCUUCAGCCUUGAUACUUUUACCAUAAAUUUCACUGUCACCAAUCUGAAAUAUGCAACAGGAAUGAGCCACUUUGGCUCCAGCAAAUUCAGUUCUGUGGAGAGUGCCCUGGAGUGCCUGGUGAGACAUGACCCCCUUCCGUCCCCUCUGCCAAGCUGCUUUCC
RNAcentral lists this long non-coding RNA (607 nucleotides) under Vombatus ursinus (common wombat). RNAcentral describes it as "lncRNA (ENSVURG00010019317.1)". The record is from RNAcentral. Lineage: Eukaryota; Metazoa; Chordata; Mammalia; Diprotodontia; Vombatidae.